CUUGCAGGUGUAGACGCACGCUGCUGCUUGGGCUCCAUGUGCGGACAUGACAAAGAAAGAAAAGAAGUGCGGCUGGGAUGCACUACGUAGCAUGACGCGGAGAGAAAGUGGCUUGAAGCACGAUCACCGGAUGCAGAAAAUCCAAAGAAGGACAUGCGCGGAAGAAAAAAAAUGCAAGAGGCAGUACACGUGCAGCUUGAAGCGGUACGCUGGAGCAAAAAUAAGGGGCGCA
This 232-nucleotide long non-coding RNA is filed under the name Elaeis guineensis (African oil palm). RNAcentral describes it as "long non-coding RNA (EGUI_LNC013238)". The record is from RNAcentral. Lineage: Eukaryota; Viridiplantae; Streptophyta; Magnoliopsida; Arecales; Arecaceae.